GAUGAACGCUGGCGGCGUGCCUAAUACAUGCAAGUCGAGCGAACGGACGAGAAGCUUGCUUUUCUGAUGUUAGCGGCGGACGGGUGAGUAACACGUGGAUAACCUACCUAUAAGACUGGGAUAACUUCGGGAAACCGGAGCUAAUACUGGAUAAUAUUUUGAACCGCAUGGUUCAAAAGUGAAAGACGGUCUUGCUGUCACUUAUAGAUGGAUCCGCGCUGCAUUAGCUAGUUGGUAAGGUAACGGCUUACCAAGGCAACGAUGCAUAGCCGACCUGAGAGGGUGAUCGGCCACACUGGAACUGAGACACGGUCCAGACUCCUACGGGAGGCAGCAGUAGGGAAUCUUCCGCAAUGGGCGAAAGCCUGACGGAGCAACGCCGCGUGAGUGAUGAAGGUCUUCGGAUCGUAAAACUCUGUUAUUAGGGAAGAACAUAUGUGUAAGUAACUGUGCACAUCUUGACGGUACCUAAUCAGAAAGCCACGGCUAACUACGUG
This 497-nucleotide ribosomal RNA is filed under the name uncultured bacterium. RNAcentral's name for it is "partial 16S ribosomal RNA". It matches the Rfam family "Bacterial small subunit ribosomal RNA", at positions 28 to 507 of the family's 1533-position model. The record is from RNAcentral.